This 416-nucleotide ribosomal RNA is filed under the name uncultured bacterium. Its description in RNAcentral is "bacterial SSU rRNA". It matches the Rfam family "Bacterial small subunit ribosomal RNA", at positions 362 to 776 of the family's 1533-position model. The record is from RNAcentral.
UAUUGGUCAAUGGGUGAGAGCCUGAACCAGCCAUGCCGCGUGCAGGAAGACGGCCUUCUGGGUUGUAAACUGCUUUUAUCUGGGGAUAAAAAGCCCAUGCGUGGGACAUUGAAGGUACCAGAUGAAUAAGCACCGGCUAACUACGUGCCAGCAGCCGCGGUAAUACGUAGGGUGCAAGCGUUGACCGGAUUUAUUGGGUUUAAAGGGUGCGUAGGCGGUCUAUUAAGUCAGUGGUGAAAUCCAACAGCUCAACUGUUGAUGUGCCAAUGAUACUGAUGGACUUGAGUACAGACGAGGUAGGCGGAAUUGACAGUGUAGCGGUGAAAUGCAUAGAUAUUGUCAAGAACACCGAUAGCGAAGGCAGCUUGCUAGCCUGUAACUGACGCUGAGGCACGAAAGUAUGGGGAUCAAACAGG